CCUACGGGAGGCUGCAGUGAGGAAUAUUGGUCAAUGGACGAGAGUCUGAACCAGCCAAGUAGCGUGAAGGAUGCCUGCCCUAUGGGUUGUACACUUCUUUUAUAAGGGAAUAAAACGAGGCACGUGUGCCUUUUUUCAUGUACUUUAUGAAUAAGGAUCGGCUAAUUCCGUGCCAGCAGCCUCGGUACUACGGAGGAUCCGAGCGUUAUCAGGAUUUAUUGGGUUUAAGGGGUGCGUAGGCGGAAUGCCAAGUCAGCGGUAAACUCGCGGGGCUCAACCUCGCUCCGCAGUUGAAACUGGCGUUCUUGAGUGGGCGAGAAGUAUGCGGAAUGCGUGGUGUAGCGGUGAAAUGCAUAGAUAUCACGCAGAACUCCUAUUGCGAAGGCAGCAUACCGGCGCCCAACUGACGCUGAAGCACGAAAGCGUGGGUAUCGAACAGGAUUAGAUACCCCGGUAGUC
RNAcentral lists this ribosomal RNA (459 nucleotides) under uncultured bacterium. Its description in RNAcentral is "partial 16S ribosomal RNA". It matches the Rfam family "Bacterial small subunit ribosomal RNA", at positions 338 to 795 of the family's 1533-position model. The record is from RNAcentral.